GGCGAACGGGUGAGUAACACGUGGGUGAUCUGCCUUGCACUUCGGGAUAAGCCUGGGAAACUGGGUCUAAUACCGGAUAGGACCAUGCUUUAGUGUGUGUGGUGGAAAGUUUUUCGGUGCAAGAUGAGCCCGCGGCCUAUCAGCUUGUUGGUGGGGUAAUGGCCUACCAAGGCGACGACGGGUAGCCGGCCUGAGAGGGUGUACGGCCACAUUGGGACUGAGAUACGGCCCAG
This 233-nucleotide ribosomal RNA is filed under the name uncultured Actinomycetales bacterium. RNAcentral's name for it is "partial 16S ribosomal RNA". It matches the Rfam family "Bacterial small subunit ribosomal RNA", at positions 97 to 334 of the family's 1533-position model. Lineage: Bacteria; Bacillati; Actinomycetota; Actinomycetes; Actinomycetales. The record is from RNAcentral.